GCAGGGAUACAGCUCAGUGGUAGAGCACUUGCCUAGAAUGCAUGAGACCCAGGGUUAAACCCCCACCACUGCA
RNAcentral lists this transfer RNA (73 nucleotides) under Marmota monax (woodchuck). Its description in RNAcentral is "tRNA.Ser". The record is from RNAcentral. Lineage: Eukaryota; Metazoa; Chordata; Mammalia; Rodentia; Sciuridae.